Molecule: long non-coding RNA, 2514 nt
Filed under: Salmo salar (Atlantic salmon)
Lineage: Eukaryota; Metazoa; Chordata; Actinopteri; Salmoniformes; Salmonidae
Description: lncRNA (ENSSSAG00000111149.1)
Source: RNAcentral
UCCAGAAAAACGCAUGUCAAAAAUGUUAUAAAAUGAUUAGCAUUUUAAUGAGGGAAAUAAGUAUUUGACCCCUCUGCAAAACAUGACUUAGUACUUGGUGGCAAAACCCUUGUUGGCAAUCAGAGGUCAGACGUUUCUUGUAGUUGGCCAUCAGGUUUGCACACAUCUCAGGAGGGAUUUUGUCCCACUCCUCUUUGCAGAUCUUCUCCAAGUCAUUAAGGUUUCGAGGCUGACGUUUGGCAACUCGAACCUUCAGCUCCCUCCACAGAUUUUCUAUGGGAUUAAGGUCUGGAGACUGGCUAGGCCACUCCAGGACCUUAAUGUGCUUCUUCUUGAGCCACUCCUUUGUUGCCUUGGCCGUGUGUUUUGGGUCAUUGUCAUGCUGGAAUACCCAUCCACGACCCAUUUUCAAUGCCCUGGCUGAGGGAAGGAGGUUCUCACCCAAGAUUUGACGGUACAUGGCCCCGUCCUUUGAUGCGGUGAAGUUGUCCUGUCCCCUUAGCAGAAAAACACCCCCAAAGCAUAAUGUUUCCACCUCCAUGUUUGACGGUGGAGAUGGUGUUCUUUGGGUUAUAGGCGGCAUUCCUCCUCCAAACACGGCGAGUUGAGUUGAUGUCAAAGAGCUCCAUUUUGGUCUCAUCUGACCACAACACUUUCACCAGUUGUCCUCUGAGUCAUUCAGAUGUUCAUUGGCAAACUUCAGACGGGCAUGCAUAUGUAUUCUUGAGCAGGGGGACCUUGCGGGCGCUGCAGGAUUUCAGUCCUUCACGGCGUAGUGUGUUACCAAUUGUUUUCUUGGUGACUAUGGUCCCAGCUGCUUUGAGAUCAUUGACAAGAUCCUCCCGUGUAGUUCUGGGCUGAUUCCUCACCUUUCUCAUGAUCAUUGCAACUCCACGAGGUGAGAUCUUGUAUGGAGCUCCAGGCCGAGGGAUAUUGACAGUUCUUUUGUGUUUCGUCCAUUUGCGAAUAAUCGCACCAAAUGUUGUCACCUUCUCACCAAGCUGCUUGGCGAUGGUCUUGUAGCCCAUUCCAGCCUUGUGUAGGUCUACAAUCUUGUCCCUGACAUCCUUGGAGAGCUCUUUGGUCUUGGCCAUGGUGGAGAGUUUGAAAUCUGAUUGAUUGAUUGCUUCUGUGGACAGGUGUCUUUUUUACAGGUAACAAGCUGCGGUUAGGAGCACUCCCUUUAAGAGUGUGCUCCUAAUCUCAGCUCGUUACCUGUAUAAAAGACACCUGGGAGCCAGAAAUCUUUCUGAUUGAGAGGGGGUCAAGUACUUAUUUCCCUCAUUAAAAUGCAAAUCAAUUUAUAACAUUUUUGACAUGCAUUUUUCUGGAUUUUUUGUUGUUAUUCUGUCUCUCACUGUUCAAAUAAACCUACCAUUAAAAUUAUAGACUGAUCCUUUCUUUGUCAGUGGGCAAACGUACAAAAUCAGCAGGGGAUCAAAUACUUUUUUCCUCCACUGUAGAGGGCACAACAUGAUCACAGAUAUGUUUUGAUGUGAGAGGAUGCCAACCCCCCAGUCCCACCAUCGCCACCUCACCCGCUUUUAAGAUAACCUUCGGGCUGACUAGAGAUUUUGUAAAUGUGAUGAACUGAGAGAAUAUUUGGGUGUGAUUCAUUAAUCAUAUGCUGCCUUCCCUGCUCCUAUGUUCUUACCUCUUUCCCUGUCUGUCUUUUACACCUCUCUUGCCACCUCUUUCUUCCGGUUUUUAUAAUGCACAACAGAAGUACAGAUUGAACUUGUAUUUAUAAUAUUACAAUUAUAAUAUUUAUAAUGCAUGUAUUCAUAACACUUGAAUAAUGAACUUUCAAUAAGGUGUUUCACAUUCUCUACUGGUUGAAAUUAAGUCUAAUUUGAUGAAAUACUACACCUUUCCUGUUUAUCAGAUCAAUGCAGAUGAAGGGCAUUAGAUAUUGAGAUGAACCGGUUUUAGAGUAUUUACAUGAUAGGAAGUGUAGUGUACUGUUUUUUAAAAUUAUAUUUCUGUAUAUAUGAAUUACAAAUCAGCCAUUAACUAGUAAAAUCCUGUUUCUAGUCUAUUAGUUACAAUGUGUAACCAUUGAUGUCCCAGGACCAAAUUGGUAAACACUGUUGAAGUGUAUAAUUGUAAUACAUACAUGCAGACACAGCAUCAUACAAAGACUGGAAGACUGAGGUUCAUAGCUAGGCUCUGAACUAAUAUGUAUACCAAACAUGUGGGUCCAUACACAGAUCAGCUAGAUAGCUAGCUACACAUCCAUAGGCAUACAGGUAUUUUUAUCUGCCACUGCACAAUAAGCAAGAACAUAGCUAGCUACGUUAUUUAAUCUAUCUGCAUUGCAUAGCAAAUAUCAGCAAGGCAAGCUUACAAACUUGUACAUUCAAUUUGCAGUAAAUGCUUUAGCUAGCAAGAUUCUUUAGAUCCACUGUUUCACAAGAUGACAGCCUGGUUUGCUGGUUGUUUCAGGAGUCCCUAAAACAUGAAACAACCAGAAUUACAAUUUCAUACUCAUGUCACAACACCCAUAAAGCUAGC